This is a long non-coding RNA of Lucilia sericata (common green bottle fly), 411 nucleotides long. RefSeq lists it as uncharacterized. NCBI's taxonomy places the organism in Eukaryota, Metazoa, Arthropoda, Insecta, Diptera, Calliphoridae. The transcript has 2 exons. The record is from RefSeq and is a predicted model, not a curated record.
UACUCUGAAAUCUAAACGUUUUAAAUCUGCUAUAUAAGUCCGAACAGAAAGCCACUGAGAUAUCAUUCAAUCGUUUAAAGUUAAACAAACAUGAAAGUAUUUCAAGUAGCAUUUAUCGUGGCUUGCAUUAUUGCUGCCGUUUCCUGCAAUCCUGGCCAUAACACUAUAAAGGGAAAUAGCAAUCAAGGAAAUAAGCAGAGCAAUUUUGACCUUAAAGGAAGUUUAUUCUAAUAAACGUUACAUGAUGCUGAGUAACAUUUUAUAAGAUUUCCAUUUACUUAUUGUUCUAUUCUGUUUUAAUCUAGCAGAAUUUUUUUUAGCAAAAAUUUAACUAAAUAUUGAAAAAUGGGUCUUAUUUCUCUAACUGGAUUGUUUUAAAAAAUAAUAUGAAAUAAAGUGCAAAAAUAUUCA